Molecule: long non-coding RNA, 829 nt
Organism: Eriocheir sinensis (Chinese mitten crab)
Lineage: Eukaryota; Metazoa; Arthropoda; Malacostraca; Decapoda; Varunidae
Exons: 3
Source: RefSeq, a predicted model, not a curated record
UUGGCUUUCAUCGUCUUGUGAUCGGAUAUAGCUAUUACAUUACCAAUGUUAUUUCUGAUAAAAGAUUUCAUGGAGUGAAUCAAGGAAAAGUUAUCCAAGGAUUUCCUGUAACUUUGAGUACAUUUGUAUUUGUGUUAGUGUUACAGAUGGUACAGUACUGGGACGCGACGUGUUUCACUUGCGGAUUUGUGCUUGUCCGACACGAGAUUUAAAGACAGACGAACAAGCUAACUCUAAGAAGAGAAGAUUAAAACGCAAAAGAUAUUCAACUGAGACUCAGAUCGCAAAAAUACCAAAACUAGUUGACCCAGAGCCUCAUGUGUCCAACUUAAAUGAAGUUUACAACAUUAAGGUAGUUGGACGUCAGUUGUACUUGUUCAUGAUGAAGAUCAUGCAGUUUUACUCCAGCACCCACCUGAACAUUCCUGACGCUCCAUGUCAACAAAACGAAAACACGAUGGUACACCAAGAGCAGGAUGUGCUCAUGAGAAACAUGUAUUCUAAUAAUCUGAAGAAGCUCAAAGAAAAGCUGAAGAACUUGAGAGAAGAAAGCAAACAGGGGAGUGAGCAGAAAAGCAUCGAAAUUAUAGAAAUAGAAAGCCCAGAAAACUCAGAAAAAGAAAAACAGGGAAGCCCAGAAAAUACAGAAAAAGGAAACACUAAAAAAAAGAAAACAAUCCUAUAGAAGAACCACUAAACCUAAUCAAAGACAACAACCCUAUAGAAGAGCCACUAAACCUAAUCAAAGAUAACAAACCUGUAUCAUUACGUACGGUGAAAAGAAACAAACCAUAUCGUCACAUUCCAUUUGUACAUGUCACAAGGGAAC